This 298-nucleotide unclassified non-coding RNA is filed under the name plant metagenome. Its description in RNAcentral is "partial contains 5.8S ribosomal RNA, internal transcribed spacer 2, and large subunit ribosomal RNA". The stretch from base 1 to 105 matches the Rfam family "5.8S ribosomal RNA", at positions 50 to 154 of the family's 154-position model. The record is from RNAcentral.
GAAAUGCGAUAAGUAAUGUGAAUUGCACAAUUCAGUGAAUCAUCGAAUCUUUGAACGCACAUUGCGCCCCCUGGUAUUCCGGGGGGCAUGCCUGUUCGAGCGUCAUUUCACCACUCAAGCCUCGCUUGGUAUUGGGCAACGCGGUCCGCCGCGUGCCUCAAAUCGACCGGCUGGGUCUUCUGUCCCCUAAGCGUUGUGGAAACUAUUCGCUAAAGGGUGUUCGGGAGGCUACGCCGUAAAACAACCCCAUUUCUAAGGUUGACCUCGGAUCAGGUAGGGAUACCCGCUGAACUUAAGC